UACAUGCAAGUCGAACGAUAGUUGUCAGCUUGCUGAUAACGAAAAGUGGCGCACGGGUGCGUAACGCGUAUGCAACCUACCUUAUUCAGGGGGAUAGCCCGAAGAAAUUCGGAUUAACACCGCAUAAAAUCACAGUCCAGCAUUGGAUAAUGAUCAAAUAUUUAUAGGAAUAAGAUGGGCAUGCGUGUCAUUAGCUAGUUGGCGGGGUAACGGCCCACCAAGGCGACGAUGACUAGGGGAUCUGAGAGGAUGACCCCCCACACUGGUACUGAGACACGGACCAGACUCCUACGGGAGGCAGCAGUAAGGAAUAUUGGUCAAUGGAGGCAACUCUGAACCAGCCAUGCCGCGUGCAGGAAGACAGCCCUCUGGGUCGUAAACUGCUUUUAUUCGGGAAUAAACCUUAAUACGUGUAUUAAGCUGAAUGUACCGAAGGAAUAAGGAUCGGCUAACUCCGUGCCAGCAGCCGCGGUAAUACGGAGGAUCCAAGCGUUAUCCGGAUUUAUUGGGUUUAAAGGGUGCGUAGGCGGCUUGUUAAGUCAGGGGUGAAAGACGGUGGCUCAACCAUCGCAGUGCCUUUGAUACUGAUGAGCUUGAAUGAACUAGAGGUAGGCGGAAUGUGACAAGUAGCGGUGAAAUGCAUAGAUAUGUCACAGAACACCGAUUGCGAAGGCAGCUUACUAUGGUUUUAUUGACGCUGAGGCACGAAAGCGUGGGGAUCAAACAGGAUUAGAUACCCUGGUAGUCCACGCCCUAAACGAUGAAUACUCGCUGUUAGCGAUAUACAGUUAGCGGCUAAGCGAAAGCGUUAAGUAUUCCACCUGGGGAGUACGCCCGCAAGGGUGAAACUCAAAGGAAUUGACGGGGGCCCGCACAAGCGGAGGAGCAUGUGGUUUAAUUCGAUGAUACGCGAGGAACCUUACCCGGGCUUGAAAGUUAGUGAAUCAUUUAGAGAUAGAUGAGUGAGCAAUCACACGAAACUAGGUGCUGCAUGGCUGUCGUCAGCUCGUGCCGUGAGGUGUUGGGUUAAGUCCCGCAACGAGCGCAACCCCUAUGUUUAGUUGCCAGCACGUUAAGGUGGGGACUCUAAACAGACUGCCUGUGCAAACAGAGAGGAAGGAGGGGACGACGUCAAGUCAUCAUGGCCCUUACGUCCGGGGCUACACACGUGCUACAAUGGAUGGUACAGAGGGCAGCAAGCUGGUAACAGCAAGCAAAUCUCAAAAAGCCAUUCACAGUUCGGAUAGAGGUCUGCAACUCGACCUCUUGAAGUUGGAUUCGCUAGUAAUCGCGUAUCAGCAAUGACGCGGUGAAUACGUUCCCGGGCCUUGUACACACCGCCCGUCAAGCCAUGGAAGUUGGGGGUACCUAAAGUAUGUAACCGCAA
This 1387-nucleotide ribosomal RNA is filed under the name bacterium. RNAcentral describes it as "bacterial SSU rRNA". It matches the Rfam family "Bacterial small subunit ribosomal RNA". The record is from RNAcentral.